CUUUGUUUCUGCAGAACAGGAACCUGCUGGAAACCAGUUUUUAAACUGAGCCAGGCCAGUUUAUAUUGUAACUUAAUUGUUGAUUUUUAAUUUUACUGUUUAACA
Molecule: long non-coding RNA, 105 nt
Organism: Etheostoma spectabile (orangethroat darter)
Lineage: Eukaryota; Metazoa; Chordata; Actinopteri; Perciformes; Percidae
Exons: 4
Source: RefSeq, a predicted model, not a curated record